RNAcentral lists this ribosomal RNA (899 nucleotides) under Staphylococcus aureus. RNAcentral describes it as "bacterial SSU rRNA". It matches the Rfam family "Bacterial small subunit ribosomal RNA", at positions 1 to 884 of the family's 1533-position model. The record is from RNAcentral. Lineage: Bacteria; Bacillati; Bacillota; Bacilli; Caryophanales; Staphylococcaceae.
UUCAGAGUUUUGAUUCAUGGCUCAGGAUGAACGCUGGCGGCGUGCCUAAUACAUGCAAGUCGAGCGAACUGACGAGGAGCUUGCUCCUUUGACGUUAGCGGCGGACGGGUGAGUAACACGUGGGUAACCUACCUAUAAGACUGGAAUAACUCCGGGAAACCGGGGCUAAUGCCGGAUAACAUGUUGAACCGCAUGGUUCAACAGUGAAAGACGGUCUUGCUGUCACUUAUAGAUGGACCCGCGCCGUAUUAGCUAGUUGGUAAGGUAACGGCUUACCAAGGCGACGAUACGUAGCCGACCUGAGAGGGUGAUCGGCCACACUGGAACUGAGACACGGUCCAGACUCCUACGGGAGGCAGCAGUAGGGAAUCUUCCGCAAUGGGCGAAAGCCUGACGGAGCAACGCCGCGUGAGUGAUGAAGGUCUUCGGAUCGUAAAGCUCUGUUGUUAGGGAAGAACAUAUGUGUAAGUAACUGUGCACAUCUUGACGGUACCUAACCAGAAAGCCACGGCUAACUACGUGCCAGCAGCCGCGGUAAUACGUAGGUGGCAAGCGUUAUCCGGAAUUAUUGGGCGUAAAGCGCGCGUAGGCGGUUUUUUAAGUCUGAUGUGAAAGCCCACGGCUCAACCGUGGAGGGUCAUUGGAAACUGGAAAACUUGAGUGCAGAAGAGGAAAGUGGAAUUCCAUGUGUAGCGGUGAAAUGCGCAGAGAUAUGGAGGAACACCAGUGGCGAAGGCGGCUUUCUGGUCUGUAACUGACGCUGAGGUGCGAAAGCGUGGGGAUCAAACAGGAUUAGAUACCCUGGUAGUCCACGCCGUAAACGAUGAGUGCUAAGUGUUAGGGGGUUUCCGCCCCUUAGUGCUGCAGCUAACGCAUAAGCACUCCGCCUGGGGAGGAAG